RNAcentral lists this long non-coding RNA (1139 nucleotides) under Citrus x clementina. Its description in RNAcentral is "Citrus clementina (C. clementina) long non-coding RNA (CCLE_LNC001237)". Lineage: Eukaryota; Viridiplantae; Streptophyta; Magnoliopsida; Sapindales; Rutaceae. The record is from RNAcentral.
GCGCCCAAAAAUCAGCCACCGAACGUCGGGGUGCCAAGACCCACCAGCGGAAAAAUGGCCAAAAAAUUGGUGGGCUAUAGCCUUGGUGGGGGGCGUGGGCGAAGUUCGUCCGCCGGAGUCGGAAUGGCCCCAGACUUUGCGGGCGGCCUCCGUGUGCCAAAAAUAGGCCACGGGCACAGCCGCGCCCACAAAUCAGCCCCCGAAGGUCGGGGUGCCAACACCCCCCAGCGGAAAAAUGGCCAAAAAAUGGGUGGGCUAUAGCCUUGGUGGGGGGCGCGGGCGAAGUUCGUCCGCCGGACUCGGAAUGGCCCCAGACUUUGCGGGCGGCCUCCGUGUGCCAAAAAUAGGCCACGGGCACAGCCGCGCCCAAAAAUCAGCCCCCGAAGGUCGGGGUGCCAAGACCCCCCAGCGGAAAAAUGGCCAAAAAACGGGUGGGCUAUAGCCUUGGUGGGGGGCGUGGGCGAAGUUCGUCAGCCGGACUUGGAAUGGCCCCAGACUUUGCGUGCGGCCUUCGUGUGCCAAAAAUAGGCCACGGGCACAGCCGCGCCCAAAAAUCAGCCCCCGAAGGUCGGGGUGCCAAGACCCCCCAGCGGAAAAAUGGCCAAAAAACGGGUGGGCUAUAGCCUUGGUGGGGGGCGUGGGCGAAGUUCGUCCGCCGGACUCGGAAUGGCCCCAGACUUGGCUGGCGGCCUCCGUGUGCCAAAAAUAGGCCACGGGCACAGCCGCGCCCAAAAAUCAGCCCCCGAAGGUCGGGGUCCCAAGACCCCGCAGCGGAAAAAUGGCCAAAAAAUGGGUGGGCUAUAGCCUUGGCGGGGGGCGUGGGCGAAGUUCGUCCGCGGGACUCGGAAUGGCACCAUACUUGGCGGGCGGCCUCCGUGUCCAAAAAAUAGGCCACGGGCACAGCCGCGCCCAAAAAUCAGCCCCCGAAGGUCGGGGUCCCAAGACCCCCCCAGCGGAAAAAUGGCCAAAAAACGGGUGGGCUAUAGCCUUGGUGGGGGGCGUGGGCGAAGUUCGUCCGCCGGACUCGGAAUGGCCCCAGACUUGGCGGGCGGCCUCCGUGUGCCAAAAAUAGGCCACGGGCACAGCCGCUCCCAAAAAUCAGCCCCCGAAGGUCGGGGUCCCAAGACCCCCCAGAGNNN